UUUUUUUUUUGAGUAAUCUCGCAAACUUUAUUGAAUCAAAGUAAUGUCCAUAGGUACAAUAGUUGGGUCAUGAGGAUUGCCCAACCAAACAUGCCUACCUAAGGGAAGAUUACAUGCAUACUUUGCGAGAUUGUGUGCCUCAAAAUUGAAGUUCCUACACUCAAAUAAAAACUUGCAAGAAGAAAAACUAGAGCUACGAGCUAAUAUUUCAUGUGUGAUAGCUGCAUUCGGACCAAACGUUCCCUGAUUGAUAUCCUCGACUACACUUUGGCAGUCGGAGGCAAUAACCACGGCCUGAGCUUGAAGAUCUUUUGCAAGUGCUAUCCCUUCUCUGACAGCAAAAGCUUCUAAGAUCGUCGGAUCGACGAUGCCGCCAUAAACCAUCGCAGAGGAACCAAGGUAGUGACCAUGCUGGUCUCGGCAUAAGGCUGCCACUGCUCCACCGCGCAUGUUCCUCGCUAUGGCCCUGUAACGCCCCAAGACCGACGCUCCAGACGCCUUCCAUAUUUUUUCGUUAUCGUUGUGUGUUUUAUUUGUUUGUUGCAUUCAUCAUCGCAUUGCAUCAGCAUAUUUUCAUAAACUUGCAUCCGCUCAUAGUUGCGGCGUCCCCCCUUGCUUUCGUUGACCGUUUCGAGACCAACCUCACUUGCAACGUUGCUCCUCGUUUUCUCUCUUGUCUUCUCCGGGGCCUUUUGUCACACACUUUGUCUUUGUCGACCCCUCUCAGACCACCCCUCGCGCGCGUCCGAAAUUUGUCCCGAACCCGACCCGGGUUGUUGUCACCGUUGGGUCCGGAUCAUCCCCAAACAUCUAUAAAACAUCUCCGUUUUCUUAUUUGGGCUUCCCUAGCCUAUUUUUCUCGACCGCCCGAUCUAAAUCAGAGGGUCCAAUUAGACCUCUACCCAAAAUCCACUUGCUAUAUAAACCGACCUAACCUAAAAUCUCGGACGGCUGUCCCAUCAAUCCCCUCACUCGCCGCCGCCGCGCAUCCCAAAUCCUCCUCGAGAUCCAUCCCCAACCUACCAGCCUCCUCCUUCCCGAUCCAUCCAACCACCACAGCCACGCAGACCUCCCCGUUCCCCUCGUCGCGAGCCAGGGAGACGAGCUCCCUGCCGCCUCCCACCUCGUGCCGUCCCCGUCGUCCACCGGUAGCAACAGCAGCUCUGGCCGCAGCCCCGAGCCUCCCGUGCGCCUCCACCUCCCUGCCGGAGCAGCACCACCAGGCCAGCCCCGCGCCCCUGCUCUUCCUUCUUCUUCCCCUAUCCCGCUCUUCUCUCAGUGCUCUCUCUCUGUCCCGUGUAGGAGGACAGCCAUGGGAGCACCUCGAGGAGCAAAACCGCAGCAGUAGACCGUGGCACCACCACCGGAGCUCGCCGCUGCCGGGAAUCACCUUCUUUCGCCGGAGAUCGCGUCCUUGUCCUGGAUCUGGUCAGUUCUGCCGUCCCACAGCGCGCCCUUCUCCUUCCUUCGGUCUCCUCCUCCACUCACAUCUCAUCCCCUCUCUCAGUUCUCUUUGUAGCGCUGCAGCCUUCUGCCUGUGCGUCGUGCGCGAGAACCGACAAGGCUCCAGCGCCAUGGACUUCCCCCACCUCUGCCCGAGCGCCUCCAGGACCUCGUCUGCCCCCGCCGCGUCGCCGAAUCCGGCCACCAGCACCCUCUAGCGCCGUCGUUUCCUUCCUCCUACUGCUCGAUCCCUGCUUCAGGAACGAGACGAUGAGCGCCCAGCAAUCGCGUUGACCGCAUCGGUCAGAUCCGGUGGCCCGCGCUGCUUCCCCGUCGGCCCAGUGCGCCUCCUCUCCAAGGCCCAGCCGUGGCUUCCUCUCUGGCCCAGCUUCAGUUUCGGCCUGCUAGGCCCGAUGUGAGCAGCUCCCCCAGCCCUUCAGUUUCGGCCCGCAUCUAUUUUUUUUCGUGCGCUGCGAUUUUAGUAUUAUUCGAGAGAAAACUUGUUUUACAGAUUAGUCCCUAGACUUCAUGCAUUUAAUAACUCCACAACCGUGCAUCAGAUUAAAAUGUUUAAAAUAUGUAAAAUGAUUAGAAUUGCAUCUAGUUUCACAAUAUGCUGCUUCCAUCCAUGUUUAAAAUGUUUAAACUUGCUGUUUAUUUAAUUUUGCAUAAAUAGCAUGUUAAAAUGAAUUAUUUCAUAUCUUAAUAACCGUAGCUCCGAAUUUAAUAAACUUUAUAUGUAAAUGGAGUAGAAAAAUGCCUAGUUUAACAUGGUGUACUUUAUUUUGCUGUUUAACGACAUUAAAAUUGUGUUUAGGGCAGAACAGUAGUAAAUUCAAAAUAUGCAUGUGGGGAUUUUCCGGAAUUGUUGUUUAUUGUUUCCGGCCUCAUUUAACUUGCUUAAAUAGUUAGUUUACUUAUGCUUCACCCCUUGCCAUGUUUAAUAACAUUUAAUAUUGUUGUGUAUCUUAACGAGAGAGAACUAAAUAAUUGAUGUGGUGUUUUGUCAAUAUGCAACUCGUUGCAUAUUGAGCUCCACUUAAUUUGUAGUAUUGUUUGUGCACUUUGCCAUGCCAUGCCUCAUUAAACCGGACAUGCAUCAUACUUGAUUGUGCAUCAUGCCAUGUUUAUGUGAUGGUUGUUUACUAUGUUGUUUGCUUCUUUCCGGUUUGCUUCUCUCGUUAGCUUCGGUUUCGUUCCGGAGUUGUGAGGAUCGUUCGACUACGUCCGUUUGUCUUCUUCAUGGACUCGUUCUUCUUCCUAGCAAGAUCUCAGGCAAGAUGACCAUACCCUCGAAAUCACUUCUAUCUUUGCUUGCUAGUUGUCCGUUCUAUUGCUAUGCCGCGUUACCUACCACUUGCUUAUGAAGCCUCCCAAAUUGCCAUGAACCUCUAACCUUUGUCAUCCUUCCUAGCAAACCGUUGUUUGGCUAUGUUACCGCUUUUGCUCAUCCCCUCUUAUAGCGUUGCUAGUUGCAGGUGAAGAUGAAGUUUGUUCCAUGUUGGAACAUGGAUAUGUUGGGAUAUCACAAUAUCUCUUAUUUAAUUAAUGCAUCUAUAUACUUGGUAAAGGGUGGAAGGCUCGGCCUUAUGCCUGGUGUUUUGUUCCACUCUUGCCACCCUAGCUUCCGUCAUACCGGUGUUAUGUUCCUUGAUUUUGCGUCCCUUACGCGGUUGGGUGAUUUAUGGGACCCCCUUGACAGUUCGCUUUGAAUAAAACUCCUCCAGCAAGGCCCAACCUUGGUUUUACCAUUUGCCUAUCACCUAUUUAUUUUCCCUAGGGAGUCGCUCUCCCGAGGGUCAUCUUUAUUUAACCCCCCCGGGCCAGUGCUUCUCUAAGUGUUGGUCUGAACCGAGCAACCUGCGGGGCCACCUCGGGGAAACUUGAGGGCUGGUUUUACUCGUAGCUUGACUUAUCCGGUGUUGCCCUGAGAACGAGAUAUGUGCAGCUCCUAUCGGGAUGUCGGCGCACCGGGCGGCUUUGGUGGUCUUGUUUUACCAUUGUCGAAAUGUCUUGUAACCGGGAUUCCGAGACUGAUCGGGUCUUCCCGGGAGAAGGAAUAUCCUUCGUUGACCGUGAGAGAUUAUAAUGGGCUAAGUUGGGACACCCCUGCAGGGUAUAAACUUUCGAGAGCCGUGCCCGCGGUUAUGUGGCAGAUGGGAAUUUGUUAAUGUCCGGUUGUAGAGAACUUGACACUUGACUUAAUUAAAACGCAUCAACCGCGUGUGUAGCCGUGAUGGUCUCUUUUCGGCGGAGUUUGGGAAGAGAACACGGCUUUUGGGUUAUGUUUGACGUAAGUAGGAGUUCAGGAUCACUUCUUGAUCAUUACUAGUUGACGACCGUUCCGUUGCUCCUCUUCUCGCUCUUAUUUGCGUAUGUUAGCCACCAUAUAUGCUUAGUGCUUGCUGCAGCUCCACCUCAUUACCCCUUUCCUACCCAUAAGCUUACAUAGUCUUGAUCUCGCGGGUGUGAGAUUGCUGAGUCCUCGUGACUCACAGAUACUUCCAAAACAGUUGCAGGUGCCGACGAUACCAGUACAGGUGACGUAACCGAGCUCAAGUGGGAGUUCGACGAGGACCUUGGUCGUUACUAUGUUUCGUUUCCUGAUGAUCAGUAGUGGAGCCCAGUUGGGACGAUCGGGGAUCUAGCAUUUGGGGUUGUCUUCUUUUCUUUUGGUUCCGUAGCCGGACCUAUGUGUGUACUCUGAUUGAUGUAUGAUUUAUUUAUGUAUUGUGUGAAGUGGCGAUUGUAAGCCAACUCUUUAUCCCAUUCUUGUUCAUUACAUGGGAUUGUCUGAAGAUGACCCUUCUUGCAACAAAACCAUAAUGCGGUUAUGCCUCUAAGUCGUGCCUCGACACUUGGGAGAUAUAGCUGCAUCAUGGGCGUUACAAGUUGGUAAUCAGAGCCAUCCCCGACUUAGGAUCCCCCUGCUUGAUCGAAUCGCUGGCGUUGUUGAGUCUAGAACAAAAAUGUUUUGAGUCUUAGGAUUAUAUAUAUCGGAGAGUAGGAUUCUUUUUACUCCUCGAUCCCUUCGUCGCUCUGGUGAGGCCUCCUGACGUGGAUGUUUUGACUCUCCUCUCCCCAAAUUUCACUAAAAAAAAUUUAGGAUCACGCGGGUAUCUUGGAAGCGUUCCGAUGGUUUUGUGACGAGAACAUUGUUCUUGGUGCCUCCUGACAUUUAGGGGUUGUGGCAGUGUCCCGGGGAGUUGAGCUCCGAGGUGUUGUCGUCACAAUUUUAUCGUUGCAGUUCUGGAAUACGUGAGUUUCGCCGACAUCAAAAAUCUCUUUUAUGCAGUUGUUGGUGAUAUCACCUCGACGCCACCCAGUACUGGGGCGGGAGUUCGGGAGUAUUGCCAUAACUCGUAUAACAGAUGCUUUUCGAAGGUUGAGGUAAACGAUUUCCGAAGGUUUCUUGGUUAUGUGUUGACGGAUGGAUACAGCUGGAUCUAGGGAUUGUUAGUUUGGGUGAUAUAUUUUGUGUCCCCUGUAUCCCCAACACCAGAUUGCAUAACCAGAAAGUUUCGGGAGUUUAUAAGUGGGAAUUCAAGUAUCUCGUAGGAUAUCUUUCCAACACACACAUGAUACGAUAUGGGAUCUAUCAUAUGUUUGUUUCCGGCUUAUUCUGCAAGCCAAUCCUUUGUUUUGUUUUGUUUCGUUUUGUGGUAUUCGAGUUGCUUCAAUGCCAAGUGUUGAUUCCAUACUUUAUUCUAAGUGGUGUUCUCAUAUUUCUAUGUGGAUGCUAAUCCUUCUUGUUCAUCAAGGUUGUUUAUUCAAUUCUUUCCAACUGGCGUGCUUCUCUUCAAGUUAAUCAUAUCCUUUCAAUAUUCGCAAGAUCAAUUCUAAGUUUUCUCAAUGGUGUUUAUUCCAUCUGCCCCAAGUUGCGUUUGUUUUCCCGCCCUCCCACCCUUUUCUUCAAGGACUCAGAUUUCUUAAUCAAGUAUCCUUUUUAUUGAUGCGAAGUCUCUUCAUUCUUUUCUUUCAAUGUUCUUAUCCGGUGAUUUCCCAUGAAGAUACUGUUGGAAAUAUGCCCUAGAGGCAAUAAUAAAUGGUUAUUAUUAUAUUUCUUUAUUCAUGAUAAUUGUCUAUUAUUCAUGCUAUAAUUGUAUUGUCCGGAAAUCGUAAUACAUGUGUGAAUACAUAGACCACAACGUGUCCCUAGUAAGCCUCUAGUUGACUAGCUCGUUGAUCAACAGAUAGUCAUGGUUUCCUGACUAUGGACAUUGGAUGUCAUUGAUAACGGGAUCACAUCAUUAGGAGAAUGAUGUGAUGGACAAGACCCAAUCCUAAGCAUAGCAUAAAAGAUCGUGUAAUUUCGUUUGCUAGAGCUUUUCCAAUGUCAAGUAUCUUUUCCUUAGACCAUGAGAUCGUGCAACUCCCGGAUACCGUAGGAGUGCUUUGGGUGUGCCAAACAUCACAACGUAACUGGGUGACUAUAAAGGUGCAUUACGGGUAUCUCCGAAAGUGUCUGUUGGGUUGGCACGGAUCGAGACUGGGAUUUGUCACUCCGUGUGACGGAGAGGUAUCUUUGGGCCCACUCGGUAAUGCAUCAUCAUAUUGAGCUCUAUGUGACUAAGGCGUUAGUCACGGGAUCAUGCAUUGCGGUCGAGUAAAGAGACUUGCCGGUAACGAGAUUGAACAAGGUAUUGGGAUACCGACGAUCGAAUCUCGGGCAAGUAACAUACCGUUUGACAAAGGGAAUUGCAUACGGAUUGAUUGAAUCCUCGACACCGUGGUUCAUCUGAUGAGAUCAUCGUGGAACAUGUGGGAGCCAACAUGGGUAUCCAGAUCCCGCUGUUGGUUAUUGACCGGAGAGGCGUCUCGGUCAUGUCUGCAUGUCUCCCGAACCCGUAGGGUCUACACACUUAAGGUCCGGUGACGCUAGGGUUGUAGAGAUAUAUGUAUGCGGAAACCCGAAAGUUGUUCGGAGUCCCGGAUGAGAUCCCGGACGUCACGAGAGGUUCCGGAAUGGUCCGGAGGUGAAGAAUUAUAUAUAGGAAGUCCAGUUUCGGCCACCGGGAAAGUUUCGGGGGUUAUCGGUAUUGUACCGAGACCACCGGAAGGUCCCGGGGGUCCACCGGGUGGGGCCACCUAUCCCGGAGGGCCCCGUGGGCUGAAAGUGGAAGGGAACUAGCCCUUAGUGGGCUGGGGCGCCCCCCUUGGGCCUCCCCCCAUGCGCCUAGGGUUGGGAACCCUAGGGGGGAGUUCCCCCUUGCCUUGGGGGGCAAGGCAACCCCUUCCCCCCCUUGUGGCCGCCGCCCCCCUUGAGAUCCCAUCUCUUGGGGCUGGCGCACCCCCCCAGGGGCCUAUAUAAAGGGGGGAGGGAGGGCAGCAACCUACAGCCUUGGGCGCCUCCCCCCUCCCCUGCAACACCUCUCUCUCUCUCGCAGAAGCUCGGCGAAGCCCUGCCGGAGACCCGCUACAUCCACCACCACGCCGUCGUGCUGCUGGAUCUCCAUCAACCUCUCCUUCCCCCUUGCUGGAUCAAGAAGGAGGAGACGUCGCUGCACCAUACGUGUGUUGAACGCGGAGGUGCCGUCCGUUCGACACUCGGUCAUCGGUGAUUUGGAUCACGGCGAGUACGACUCCAUCAUCCACGUUCAUUGGAACGCUUCCGCUCGCGAUCUACAAGGGUAUGUAGAUGCACUCCUUUCCCCUCGUUGCUAGUAGACUCCAUAGAUGCAUCUUGUUGAGCGUAGGAAAAUUUUAAAUUAUGCUACGAUUCCCAACAGUGGCAUCAUGAGCCAGGUCUAUGCGUAGUUACUAUGCACGAGUAGACCACAAAGCAGUUGUGGGCGUUGAGUUUGCCAAUUCUUCUUGCCGCUACUAGUCGUUUCUUGUUUCGGCGGCAUUGUAGGAUGAAGCGGCCCGGACCGACCUUACACGUACGCUUACGUGAGACUGGUUCCACCGACUGACAUGCACUAGUUGCAUAAGGUGGCUAGCGGGUGUCUGUCUCUCCUACUUUAGUCGGAACGGAUUCGAUGAAAAGGGUCCUUAUGAAGGGUAAAUAGAAAUUGGCAAAUCAUGUUGUGGUCAUACGUAGGUAAGAAACGUUCUUGCUAGAAACCUACAAACCACGUAAAAAUUUGCAACAACAAUUAGAGGACGUCUAACUUGUUUUUGCAGCAAGUGCUAUGUGAUGUGAUAUGGCCAGAAGAUGUGAUGAAUGAUAUAUGUGAUGUAUGAGAUUGAUCAUAUUCUUGUAAUAGGAAUCACGACUUGCAUGUCGAUGAGUAUGACAACCGGCAGGAGCCAUAGGAGUUGUCUUUAUUAUUUUAUAUGACCUGCGUGUCAUUGAAUAACGCCAUGUAAAUUACUUUACUUUGUUGCUAAACGUGUUAGCCAUAGAAGUAGAAGUAAUCGUUGGCGUGACAACUUCAUGAAGACACAAUGAUGAAGAUCAUGGUGUCAUGCCGGUGACAAAGAUGAUCAUGGUGCCCCGAAGAUGGAGAUCAAAGGAGCAUAAUGAUAUUGGCCAUAUCAUGUCACUAUUUGAUUGCAUGUGAUGUUUAUCAUGUUUUUGCAUCUUAUUUGCUUAGAACGACGGUAGUAAGUAAGAUGAUCCCUUAUAAUAAUUUCAAGAAAGUGUUCACCCUAACUGUGCACCGUUGCGAAGGUUCGUUGUUUCGAAGCACCACGUGAUGAUCGGGUGUGAUAGAUUCUAACGUUCGAAUACAACGGGUGUUGACGAGCCUAGCAUGUACAGACAUGGCCUCGGAACACACGCAAUACACUUAGGUUGACUUGACGAGCCUAGCAUGUACAGACAUGGCCUCGGAACACACGCAAUACACUUAGGUUGACUUGACGAGCCUAGCAUGUACAGACAUGGCCUCGGAACACGGAGGACCGAAAGGUCGAGCAUGAGUCGUAUAGAAGAUACGAUCAACAUGGAGAUGUUUACCGAUCUUGACUAGUCCGUCUCACGUGAUGACCGGACACGGCCUAGUUGAAUUCGGAUCAUGUUUCACUUAGAUGACUAGAGGGAUGUCUAUCUGAGUGGGAGUUCAUUAAAUAAUUUGAUUAUAUGAACUUAAUUAUCAUGAACUUAGUCUAAAAUCUUUACACUAUGUAUUGUAGAUCAAAUGGCCCACGUUGUCCUCAAUUUCAACGCGUUCCUAGAGAAAACCAAGCUGAAAGAUGAUGGCAGCAACUAUACGGACUGGGUCCGGAACCUGAGGAUCAUCCUCAUAGCAGCCAAGAAAGAUUAUGUCUUAGAAGCACCGCUAGGUGAAGCACCAAUCCCUGAGAACCAAGACGUUAUGAACGCUUGGCAGCAGCGUGCUGAUGAUUACUCCCUCGUUCAGUGCGGCAUGCUUUACAGCUUAGAACCGGGUCUCCAAAAGCGUUUUGAGAAACAUGGAGCAUAUGAGAUGUUCGAGGAGCUGAAACUGGUUUUUCAAGCUCAUGCCUGGGUCGAGAGAUAUGAUGUCUCCGACAAGUUCUUCAGCUGUAAAAUGGAGGAGAACAGUUCUGUUAGUGAGCACAUACUCAGAAUGUCUGGGUUGCACAAUCGCUUGUCUCAGCUGGGAGUUAAUCUCCCGGAUGACGCGGUCAUUGACAGAAUCCUCCAGUCGCUUCCACCAAGCUACAAGAGCUUUGUGAUGAACUACAAUAUGCAGGGGAUGGAAAAGACCAUUCCCGAGGUAUAUUCAAUGCUGAAAUCAGCUGAGGUAGAGAUCAGAAAAGAACAUCAAGUGUUGAUGGUGAAUAAAACCACUAAGUUCAAGAAGGGCAAGGGUAAGAAGAACUUCAAGAAGGACGGCAAGGGAGUUGCCGCGCCCGGUAAGCCAGUUACCGGGAAGAAGUCAAAGAAUGGACCCAAGCCUGAAACUGAGUGCUUUUAUUGUAAGGGAAGUGGUCACUGGAAGCGGAACUGCCCCAAAUAUUUAGCGGACAAGAAGAAGGCCGGCAACACCCAAGGUAUAUGUGAUAUACAAGUAAUUGAUGUGUACCUUACCAGUACUCGUAGUAGCUCCUGGGUAUUUGAUACCGGUGCGGUUGCUCAUAUUUGUAACUCAAAGCAGGAACUACGGAAUAAACGGAGACUGGCAAAGGACGAGGUGACAAUGCGCGUCGGGAAUGGUUCCAAGGUCGAUGUGAUCGCCGUCGGCACGCUACCUCUGCAUCUACCCACGGGAUUAGUUUUAAACCUCAAUAAUUGUUAUUUAGUGCCAGCUUUGAGCAUGAACAUUGUGUCUGGAUCUCAUUUAAUUCGAGAUGGCUACUCAUUUAAAUCCGAGAAUAAUGGUUGUUCUAUUUAUUUGAGAGUUAUGUUUUAUGGUCAUGCCCCGCUGGUCAAUGGUUUAUUUUUGAUGAAUCUCGAACGUGAUGUUACACAUGUUCAUAGUGUGAAUACCAAAAGAUGUAAAGUUGAUAACGAUAGUCCCACAUACUUGUGGCACUGCCGCCUUGGUCACAUUGGUGUCAAGCGCAUGAAGAAGCUCCAUGCAGAUGGACUUUUGGAGUCUCUUGAUUACGAAUCAUUUGACACGUGCGAACCAUGCCUCAUGGGUAAGAUGACCAAGACUCCGUUCUCCGGAACAAUGGAGCGAGCAACCAACUUAUUGGAAAUCAUACAUACCGAUGUGUGUGGUCCAAUGAGUGUUGAGGCUCGCGGAGGAUAUCGUUAUGUUCUCACUCUCACUGAUGAUUUAAGUAGAUAUGGAUAUGUCUACCUGAUGAAACACAAGUCUGAAACCUUUGAAAAGUUCAAAGAAUUUCAGAGUGAGGUUGAGAAUCAACGUGACAGGAGAAUAAAAUUCCUACGAUCAGAUCGUGGUGGAGAAUAUUUAAGUCACGAGUUUGGUGCACACUUAAGGAAAUGUGGAAUAGUUUCACAACUCACGCCGCCUGGAACACCUCAGCGAAACGGUGUGUCCGAACGUCGUAAUCGCACUCUAUUGGAUAUGGUGCGAUCUAUGAUGUCUCUUACCGAUUUACCGCUCUCAUUUUGGGGCUAUGCUUUAGAGACUGCCGCAUUCACUUUAAAUAGGGCUCCGUCGAAAUCCGUUGAGACGACACCAUAUGAAUUAUGGUUUGGGAAGAAACCUAAGCUGUCGUUUCUAAAAGUUUGGGGAUGCGAUGCUUAUGUCAAGAAACUUCAACCUGAAAAGCUCGAACCCAAAUCGGAAAAAUGCGUCUUCAUAGGAUACCCUAAGGAAACUAUUGGGUAUACCUUCUACCUCAGAUCCGAAGGCAAGAUCUUCGUUGCCAAGAACGGGUCCUUUCUGGAGAAGGAGUUUCUCUCGAAAGAAUUGAGUGGGAGGAAAGUGGAACUUGAUGAGGUGAUAGUCACCCCUUCCGAACCGGAAAGUAGCGCAGCGCGGGAAAGUGUUCCUGUGGUGCCUACACCGACUGGAGAGGAAGUUAAUGAUGAUGAUCAUGAAGCUUCGGAUCAAGUUGCCACUGAACUUCGUAGGUCCACAAGGACACGUUCCGCACCAGAGUGGUACGGCAACCCUGUCCUGGAAAUCAUGUUGUUAGACAACGGUGAACCUUCGAACUAUGAAGAAGCGAUGGCGGGCCCGGAUUCCGACAAAUGGCUAGAAGCCAUGAAAUCCGAGAUAGAAUCCAUGUAUGAAAACAAAGUAUGGACUUUGACUGACUUGCCCGAUGAGCGGCGAGCCAUAGAAAACAAAUGGAUCUUUAAGAAGAAGAUGGACGCGGAUGGUAAUGUGACCAUCUACAAAGCUCGACUUGUCGCUAAGGGUUAUCGACAAGUUCAAGGGGUUGACUACGAUGAGACUUUCUCACCCGUAGCGAAGCUGAAGUCCGUCCGAAUCAUGUUAGCAAUUGCCGCAUACUAUGAUUAUGAGAUAUGGCAGAUGGACGUCAAAAUGGCAUUCCUUAACGGCUUCCUUAAGGAAGAGUUGUAUAUGAUGCAGCCGGAAGGUUUUGUCGAUCCUAAGAAUGCUAACAAAGUGUGCAAGCUCCAGCGCUCAAUCUAUGGGCUGGUGCAAGCAUCUCGGAGUUGGAACAUUCGCUUUGAUGAGAUGAUCAAAGCGUUUGGGUUUACACAGACUUAUGGAGAAGCCUGUGUUUACAAGAAAGUGAGUGGGAGCUCUGUAGCAUUUCUCAUAUUAUAUGUGGAUGACAUACUAUUGAUGGGAAAUGAUAUAGAAUUCUUGGAAAGUAUUAAGGCCUAUUUGAAUAAGUGUUUUUCAAUGAAGGACCUUGGAGAAGCUGCUUAUAUAUUAGGCAUCAAGAUCUAUAGAGAUAGAUCAAGACGCCUCAUUGGUCUUUCACAGAGUACAUACCUUGACAAGAUAUUGAAGAAGUUCAGUAUGGAUCAGUCCAAGAAGGGGUUCUUGCCUGUAUUGCAAGGUGUGAAAUUGAGCACGGCUCAAUGCCCGACCACGGCAGAAGAUAUAGAAGAGAUGAGUGUCAUCCCCUAUGCCUCGGCCAUAGGGUCUAUUAUGUAUGCCAUGCUGUGUACCAGACCUAAUGUAAACCUUGCCGUAAGUUUGGUAGGAAGGUACCAAAGUAAUCCCGGCAAGGAACACUGGACAGCGGUCAAGAAUAUCCUGAAGUACCUGAAAAGGACUAAGGAUAUGUUUCUCGUUUAUGGAGGUGACGAAGAGCUCAUCGUAAAGGGUUACGUCGACGCUAGCUCCGACACAGAUCUGGAUGACUCGAAGUCACAGACCGGAUACGUGUAUAUUUUGAAUGGAGGAGCAGUAAGCUGGUGCAGUUGCAAGCAAAGCGUCGUGGCGGGAUCUACAUGUGAAGCGGAGUACAUGGCAGCCUCGGAGGCAGCACAGGAAGCAGUCUGGAUGAAGGAGUUCAUUACCGACCUAGGGGUGAUUCCCAAUGCGUCGGGCCCAAUGACUCUCUUAUGUGACAACACUGGAGCUAUUGCCCUUGCGAAGGAGCCUAGGUUUCACAGGAAGACCACGCAUAUCAAGCGUCGCUUCAACUCCAUUCGUGAAAGUGUUCAAAAUGGAGACAUAGAUAUUUGUAAAGUACAUACGGACCUGAAUGUAGCAGAUCCGUUGACUAAACCUCUCCCUAGGGCAAAACAUGAUCAACACCAGGACGCAAUGGGUGUUCGAUUCAUCACAAUGUAACUAGAUUAUUGACUCUAGUGCAAGUGGGAGACUGUUGGAAAUAUGCCCUAGAGGCAAUAAUAAAUGGUUAUUAUUAUAUUUCUUUGUUCAUGAUAAUUGUCUAUUAUUCAUGCUAUAAUUGUAUUGUCAGGAAAUCGUAAUACAUGUGUGAAUACAUAGACCACAACGUGUCCCUAGUAAGCCUCUAGUUGACUAGCUCGUUGAUCAAUAGAUAGUCAUGGUUUCCUGACUAUGGACAUUGGAUGUCAUUGAUAACGGGAUCACAUCAUUAGGAGAAUGAUGUGAUGGACAAGACCCAAUCCUAAGCAUAGCAUAAAAGAUCGUGUAAUUUCGUUUGCUAGAGCUUUUCCAAUGUCAAGUAUCUUUUCCUUAGACCAUGAGAUCGUGCAACUCCCGGAUACCGUAGGAGUGCUUUGGGUGUGCCAAACGUCACAACGUAACUGGGUGACUAUAAAGGUGCAUUACGGGUAUCUCCGAAAGUGUCUGUUGGGUUGGCACGGAUCGAGACUAGGAUUUGUCACUCCGUGUGACGGAGAGGUAUCUCUGGGCCCACUCGGUAAUGCAUCAUCAUAUUGAGCUCUAUGUGACUAAGGCGUUAGUCACGGGAUCAUGCAUUGCGGUACGAGUAAAGAGACUUGCCGGUAACGAGAUUGAACAAGGUAUUGGGAUACCGACGAUCGAAUCUCGGGCAAGUAACAUACCGAUUGACAAAGGGAAUUGCAUACGGAUUGAUUGAAUCCUCGACACCGUGGUUCAUCCGAUGAGAUCAUCGUGGAACAUGUGGGAGCCAACAUGGGUAUCCAGAUCCCGCUGUUGGUUAUUGACCGGAGAGGCGUCUCGGUCAUGUCUGCAUGUCUCCCGAACCCGUAGGGUCUACACACUUAAGGUCCGGUGACGCUAGGGUUGUAGAGAUAUAUGUAUGCGGAAACCCGAAAGUUGUUCGGAGUCCCGGAUGAGAUCCCGGACGUCACGAGAGGUUCCGGAAUGGUCCGGAGGUGAAGAAUUAUAUAUAGGAAGUCCAGUUUCGGCCACCGGGAAAGUUUCAGGGGUUAUCGGUAUUGUACCGGGACCACCGGAAGGGUCCCGGGGGUCCACCGGGUGGGGCCACCUAUCCCGGAGGGUCCCGUGGGCUGAAAGUGGAAGGGAACCAGCCCUUAGUGGGCUGGGGCGCCCCCCUUGGGCCUCCCCCCAUGCGCCUAGGGUUGGGAACCCUAGGGGGAGUUCNNNNNNNNNNNNNNNNNNNNNNNNNNNNNNNNNNNNNNNNNNNNNNNNNNNNNNNNNNNNNNNNNNNNNNNNNNNNNNNNNNNNNNNNNNNNNNNNNNNNNNNNNNNNNNNNNNNNNNNNNNNNNNNNNNNNNNNNNNNNNNNNNNNNNNNNNNNNNNNNNNNNNNNNNNNNNNNNNNNNNNNNNNNNNNNNNNNNNNNNNNNNNNNNNNNNNNNNNNNNNNNNNNNNNNNNNNNNNNNNNNNNNNNNNNNNNNNNNNNNNNNNNNNNNNNNNNNNNNNNNNNNNNNNNNNNNNNNNNNNNNNNNNNNNNNNNNNNNNNNNNNNNNNNNNNNNNNNNNNNNNNNNNNNNNNNNNNNNNNNNNNNNNNNNNNNNNNNNNNNNNNNNNNNNNNNNNNNNNNNNNNNNNNNNNNNNNNNNNNNNNNNNNNNNNNNNNNNNNNNNNNNNNNNNNNNNNNNNNNNNNNNNNNNNNNNNNNNNNNNNNNNNNNNNNNNNNNNNNNNNNNNNNNNNNNNNNNNNNNNNNNNNNNNNNNNNNNNNNNNNNNNNNNNNNNNNNNNNNNNNNNNUACACCUCUCCGUCUCGCAGAAGCUCGGCGAAGCCCUGCCGAGACCCGCUACAUCCACCACCACGCCGUCGUGCUGCUGGAUCUCCAUCAACCUCUCCUUCCCCCUUGCUGGAUCAAGAAGGAGGAGACGUCGCUGCACCGUACGUGUGUUGAACGCGGAGGUGCUGUCCGUUCGGCACUCGGUCAUCGGUGAUUUGGAUCACGGCGAGUACGACUCCGUCAUCCACGUUCAUUGGAACGCUUCCGCUCGCGAUCUACAAGGGUAUGUAGAUGCACUCCUUUCCCCUCGUUGCUAGUAGACUCCAUAGAUGCAUCUUGGUGAGCGUAGGAAAAUUUUAAAUUAUGCUACGAUUCCCAACAGAUACUAACGGAGCUUCAAGUUUAUUAUUCUUCGUUCUUUUUCUUCUCCGGUGGACUCAAGUCAAGCUUUCAUUGUUGAUCGUAUUCUUUUCCUCGUUUCAAAUGCUUUCUCAUGUCAGUGCAUCUCUUAAUCAUCCACCUCUUGCUAUUCAUGUUAUCUGGAGUGCUAAAGAUAACUCAGAAGAUUCGCAUUUCCAUUCCCAAUCCGUUCAAGCUAUCUCGAGGUUGUUAUCUCUUUUGAGCCAUUUAAUUCAACCGACGCAAUCUUUCUUUUAAUCAUUCAACGGUGUAUCUUUUGAGUGGGCCCAUAACCCACAGUUUUUUCCCAGGAUCUUACCUAACUCUUCUAAUUCUUUCCGGAGUUAUUCUCAAAUUCAUUGCAAAGUUUGACGUAAGAAUGAAUUAUCAUCAGUCAAAUGUCUUUCUCCAAGAUCUUUCAAACUCUUUUCAUUGUUGGUUCAAUCUUUCUAAUUUUCAUCCCGGAGUAUCUCAACAAUUCAUGGUGGUGUUUCUCAUCGUCAUUCUCAACAUUUGAAGACCGAAGAAGAGUUUCUCUUAAAUCUUGCUCCAUUCUCUUCAAGAUUCAUGGUUAUAGCUUGAUGCCAUCCUCUCAUAAUUGUUUUUCGAUUGUGAGAAUUCUUUUCACCCACCCGGAGCAUUUCAGAAGUCUUUUCAGUUUGAUUCUCCGGAGCCCAUCAUCUCAGAAUUAUUUAUUCUCAGCUUUCAGCUCCCGUUCUCCAAAUCUUACCGGUGAAUCGUUCAAGUAUCCUCUAGUCAGCUCUUGAUCUCUUCGUUCUCAUGUAUCUAAAUACCCUCAAGUAUCUUCAUUCGUUUUCCAAUUCUUCCCGGUGAAUUGUGCCUUUGCUACUUUCAUUCUCAAUUCUUACGCUGGUUCAUUCAAGAAUUCUCUUCCGUUGUUAUCGUAUCAAUUCAUUCGUUCUUUCCAAAUCUGUGACACCCCAAAAUUUUGACCUUGUUUUAUUAAUUAAAAUUUUGCCAGGAAAUAAAACUUUUCCAUUUGUCUAGAUUUACCCUUUUGAUAUUAUGGGUUUUUACCUCAAGUGAAAAACUUUCCAAAGGUAUUAUUGGACUUAUAUACUCCCUCUAGGAAACAAUUCUUAUUCAGUGGAUUUAAUUGCAAGAUUUGCCUUUCCCUGAGCUUUAUUCUUUUAAAAUGAUCUUUCACAAGUUUUGGAGCCUGUUUUGCACUGCAACCAUUUGAUAAAUACUUUUAAAAAUUUCACCAAAAUUUGGGGAUGUCAUGUGAGGUUUCCACAUCACUUUUAUGCAAAAAUAUUUGUUGGUUAUUGGAGAUUUUGAGCUCUACAUCAACUUUUCAUAUCUGGUCCAGUAGGCAUUUUUGCACUACUACCUAUUUAAAUAUUUCUUUAAAAAUUCUUCCAAGUGUUUGGAGAUGUGAGUAGAUGCAUACAAUUCAACUUCAUGCAAAAAAACCAGUGUUGUUCUUUGAAAAAUUUGAGUGAACCAACCUCUUUUUCAUUCUGGUCCAGUUUGGUGAUUUGUACUGCAACCCUAUUUUAUUUUGCUCUAGUGCCCAUGAGCUUUUCCCUGCUUGUAGCCCUCCCUACAAAACCCUUAAGUCCAGGAGAGUGGACCCAUUGGAGGAUUUUAAGUGCAUGCAAUGAGACCUUUUUCUUUCUGUCCAAAACUGUAGUUUUGCAAAACUUGCACUAGCAAGUUUCUGGUUUUGCCCAUAUGACCUUGCCAUCAUCACCUACAUCUAGAGAGACCCUGAUCUGGAGAUUUUGGCCACUCCAAGAGUUGCCUAAAUGCACUUGGCAUUCUGUCGAACACUUGGUGUGCACAGUCAGUUUUGGGCAUGUUUCCUAGUUUGCACUAUGAUCUUGUUCCACUGACCCAGCAACCUUGUCCACUAAGCUGCUAGCUAUCCCUAUCCUAGUCCUGUUAAUUGCCAGCCUCACUCCUGCACUCUAGGCUGCCCUGGCAUUUCGUCGAGCAUGUCCCGUGCGUGCUCUGGGCGCGCCCAGAGCGCACGUUUUGCACGCGUGCGCACCGAGUCGCCGCGUCGCACUGCCGCCCUCGCCGCGUCCCGCCCUUGGCCUUUGCUCGCCUGCAGAGCCGUGCACUACCCUCGCCCACUCUCCACGCCACCUCUGGCGCCCUACAGCGCCGCCGUCGGAGCUUUUGGCGGCACGCCGGCGUCGGCAGCGAGCUCCUGCCAUGGACGGCGCCGCCCAAGCCACCCGCGCGCGCCAGCUGCCCCUGUGAACAGCUCGAGCUUAUCCUGGAGCCCGUCGGCGCGCGCUCGUUGCCGCCACGUCGCCCUGCAGCUACAGCACCGCGGUCGCCGGCGUUCUUAUCCACGGCCGCCGCGGAACCAGCCUCAAACGUCUAUAAAAGGAGGCCCCGAGCCCCUCCGAGCGCUCAGGCGACCUCAAGCCUUCCCCCUAGAGCUCCCCAAGCAGUGGAUUGGCCGGAAGAGUCCAUCUCCCCCAACCCCGGCCGAUUCGGCCGCCGCUGCCUUCCGGUGCCAUUCGUCGCAACCAGGCACUCCCUCGCCCAUCCAGCGCCACCACUCACUUCCCCUUGCUCUUGCGGAGCUGCCCAGCGCCUCAGCCUCGAUCGGAAACCACCAGAGCCCAAAACCCACUUCACUCCCGUAGCCCCCUCCGCCGCGGAGCUCGCCGCCGGCGACUCCUCCCACCACCAUCGACCCAACGACCACCGAGAGGACCGCCCCGGUCUGGCGGGUCCAUCCCUGCCCUCAGGUGCCCUCGAGGAGCCACCGUUCGUCGACGGCGAUCGCCGGAGACCCGCUCCCGUUCGGGCAGAGGAGAGGAGGGAGGGGGAAUAGUCAAACCUGACCAGUGGGCCCCCUGGACCCACUGUCAGUGACCCCCGCGCCAUCCACGCUGGCUUAAGUGGUCGCGUAAAACCCCGGAGUACGUCUCCUAUGCUGCGAAAGCGUAUUCUCCCCCGAAACGUUUUCCUUUUCUGGUUUUUAUUAAAAACAGAGAUUUGACCAAACUUUGACUGGCUAUAUCUUUUAAAAUAAAACUCCAAAUGAGUUGAUUCUUUUUCUUACCUUUCCCAAAUUUCAUCUAGUUUAUUUUAAGAUUUAUUCCAAAAAUAUUUGAGACAACUUUUUGUACUGUGUUUGAAAUAUUUGUUACUUGAAUAUUUUUCAAAAUAGGAAAUGGAGAGUGAAGAAAACUUUCAAAAAGUGCACCCCUUGCACACUCUUGAAGGCAAGCAUUCUGAACUCUGGCAUAAUAUCUUUGUGUGGUGUUUUGAUACGGUUACAACACCACUUGACUUGGAGCAUACGUUAUUUUUUUCGUGCCGAUAAAAAUCAUUCGCAUGAAUGCACAAUGGAGAUUCUUUGCUGGUAGUAAUGGUCAUGCUGAUGAUAGUGGUCAUCCUCGUGAGCUUUUCAUGCAUACCGGAAGGAAGCCGGGAAGGUCGCUGUCUUGGGUAGACACGAGUUGUCCCUAGUUCCUCGUCGAGACGAGUGUGUCCGGUAUGGCAUGGUGAGGUUUGAUGGGUGGUGACUUUAUCUGUUAAUGGGAAUAUAUUUGUCUUAUGGAGAUUGCUUGGACCUCCUGAGUCGGCCGUAAGUCGAGUCUUGUUCAGUGACUUCCCCUUCUUGUUUUGUUCUACCACUUGUCCCUGCCGCAGGUAGGGUACGGUUCAGUAAGUUGUCAACCCCUUACCAAAGCACACACCGUACAGAGAGGCCAUGGUGGAAGAUACCGGAGGCCUCCGGUAGGCAUGCCACCUGGUCCGGGGGCAUGGGUGUUUCCGGUUGGGACUGAGAGGGGGGCACCCCUUAGAGCGCGCGUAUAUAAAUUUGAUCCCAUGCUACGUCGAGGUUGUAGCCUCCCCACUUAGAGUUUGGCUCGACAGGUGUUGUGGGUGAUUCCAGACACCGGUAAGUUAAGCUGGUGUGUGCAGGUCAGGCGUGUUUUCAAUUAAAAGGCCGUAGGCGGAAUUAGUCCCGAUGGACUAAAUAAAUCCGUUACUCGUGAGAAAAGAGUACACCCUCUGCAGAGGUCAUAUCUAUUUGGAUAGCCAUGUUCAUGAGUAAGGGCUUCAGUCUGAGAUGGGUCUAGUGACGGUUUUCGGAUGGAGAAACGGAUAAACUGGAUCAUAGUAACGGUAUUCGGAUGGAGAAACGGCUAAACUAGAAUCUAGCGACGGUCUUCGGAUGGAGAAACGGCUAGACUAGAUAUUGUUUAUGUCCUGUGACAUAUGAGGAUUAUGUUUAUUAUUAUUAUGGACUAACCAUUUACAUUAUUUGAAUUAUUGAGUAUCCCUGGGACGGUUCUACCUCCUGGAUAUUCACUGUGAUUAUUCUUAUAUAAGCCCUUUAUGUGGCGUCGCUCAGACGCCCGACUGCGGCAUGCCUGUUAUUUAUUUAUCCUUUAUAAGCCCUUUAUGUGGCGUCGCUCAGACGCCCGACUGCGGCAUGUCUGUUAUUUAUUCAUCCUUUAUAAGCCCUUUAUGUGGCGUCGCUCAGACGCCCGACUGCGGCAUGUCUGUUAUUUAUUCAUCCUUUAUAAGCCCUUUAUGUGGUGUCUCUCAGACGCCCGACUGCGGCAUGUUUGUUAUUUAUUUAUUCUUUAUAAGCCCUUUAUGUGGCGUCGCUCAGACGCCCGACUGCGGCAUUGUUAAUUUAUUUGCACCCUUUCGAGGAGUCAUUUCAGACACUCGAUCAGCGCAUUCUAUUUCUACUCUCGUAUUGCAUGCUCCUAUUUUACCUACAUGCGUGCAUCACAGAGUUUCGUUUACUUCAUGGUAGACGUUAUCAUCAUAAAAUAUUUCAAAGUAUGAUUACCCCUUGUUAUAUUAUACCCGUGUUCUUAAUGUUUGCGAGUACAUUCAAACGUACUCACUGGCUUGUCCCUGGCUAUUGUCUUGGCCAGAUUCCUUGCUUGGAGAUAAGCAUUGCGAUGACAGCCCCGGAACCUACGCAAUGACGAUAGCAGCCUCGCGAAGAUAGGAGUUAUCCUGGUCAGCUGUUCUUGUGGGAAAUGGAGUCCCAUAGACGCAGAUGUACCACAAACCGUUUCCGCCAUCAACCACUAGAAACCAAGUGUUGUACCCCUAGGCCACAAUGGUCUUGUACCACAUAUUUUGUACUUUGCCUGGAAUUCUUGUAUCAAGUUGGUGCCUCAUCAGCUAACAGUAAUCCUGGGGCUGGUGAGCACAAAGGCCGCUUUCUAGGAAAUUAAUAUCCCGAAAAUCCGGUUGUGACAAAAUCCUACCGGCGGAUCGUUGAAGACUUUUCUCAAGUUUGCGCUAUAUCUAUCUUAAUCCUUUAUACGAGAAUAAGUAGUAUGCCAAAUCCGUUGCUUGUCAUCAAUCUAAAUUGGUGAACGUUAAGCAUAAUGCAAUUCUUAUUCUUGUUUCAUCCAAGUGAUUAAUUCCUUAUUCCGGAGAUUCAUCAAAAUUCUUGAUCUCAUUUGUUCAUUUUUCUUUCCGGAGCUCCAAGUUAUUUCAAUUAUAUCAUUUCAAAGCUUCAUCUAAUCAUUGCAAGGCUUCUCCCGGAGUUCUUUUCAAUUUUCCCUUUCGUUUGAUCAUUCUUUUAUUAUCGGAGUUCUUCAUGGAGGAUCAACAUGGUGGUUCAUCAAGGGUUCCUUUCAUUCUUCAAGUGUUCUUCAAGAAUUCUCUCGAAGCUAAGAUCCGCCAAGCUAUACUCUAAAAUAAACAUGGUGUUCAACACAUGUUUUGUUUAGUGGAGUCCAAGCAUUCUUCAUCUUGCAUUCUGAAGUACAAUUCGUUCUACCUUAUCAUUUGAGGUGGUGUUAUGUCAUUCUUGACAAUUUGAGGUCGUGUUUCAUGAUUCACAUGUUGUCAAGAAUGAGAUAUUUUAAAUCCACCAAUCUCUUCAUUGGAGUUAUCUUGUGUCAUGUUUCACCUAAAGCCUUCCCUAAGGAAUGUUGCUAUUGUGGUGCUUAUCAAUGACCCAAGCUUGCUCUUUAUCCUCUUGGUGGAAAAAAAUUUCAUCUCUUCAUUGAUCUCAAGUAAGCAAUUGUUUUCGUUAGUGGCGGGUUGUCACCUCAUAAUUUUGAGAUGUGUUCCAUAAGCCCACAACAAGCUUAUUCUUCUCGUUGCUAGUUUCCCAAGAACUCCGUUCAAUCCUUCCUUGCAAGGAUGCUCUUGAAAUUCAAUUGUGGUGGAAGUUGUCAUUUAUCUUCUCUGUCCCUUUAUCCCAACAAUCUAGCUACUAUUCUUUCGUUCCGGAGACAUUGUGAUGUUGCUCUCUUCACCCAUCAUCUCGUUUGGCCAAGAUCAUAUUCUUUUCAUGCUUACCAAUUUAACCAGAGUGUUGUGCUCUCAUUCAAGUUCUUUUAUCUUAUCAAGUCUUGCAUCUCUUCAACCGGAGUGCUGCCCGAAUUUGUUCUUCCUUGUUCCUUGUUUAUCUCGUUUCAACCAGAGUGCUUUCAAUUCCUUCUUGUCCAUUGUGCUCAUCAUUCAUAGCUUUGCAACCUCCAAGGUUCACAUGGUGUUCCUUGUUUCUCUUUUCUGCCGGAGUUUUCUCAAUUUUGUUCAACUCUGUCGUAUUCUUCUUUCCAUUUGUUCAACCUCUCAAGGUUCGUGGUUUCACUCGUUUGUCAAAGAAGCAACAAAGCUUUACCUCUUCUCUUCCUCUUCCGUUUCUCUCCGGUGCCGUCCUAGAUCUCAGGACGAGAUCCUCUCGUAGUGGUGGAGUGUUGUAACGCCCCAAGACCGACGCUCCAGACGCCUUCCAUAUUUUUUCGUUAUCGUUGUGUGUUUUAUUUGUUUGUUGCAUUCAUCAUCGCAUUGCAUCCGCAUGUUUUCAUAAACUUGCAUCCGCUCAUAGUUGCCGCGUCCCCCCUUGCUUUCGUUGACCGUUUCGAGACCAACCUCACUUGCAACGUUGCUCCUCGUUUUCUCUCUUGUCUUCUCCGGGGCCUUUUGUCAGACACUUUGUCUUUGUCGACCCCUCUCAGACCACCCCUCGCGCGCGUCCGAAAUUUGUCCCGAACCCGACCCGGGUUGUUGUUACCGUUGGGUCCGGAUCAUCCCCAAACAUCUAUAAAACAUUUCCGUUUUCUUAUUUGGGCUUCCCUAGCCUAUUUUUCUCGACCGCCCGAUCUAAAUCAGAGGGUCCAAUUAGACCUCUACCCAAAAAUCCACUUGCUAUAUAAACCGACCUAACCUAAAAUCUCGGACGGCUGUCCCAUCAAUCCCCUCACUCGCCGCCGCCGCGCAUCCCAAAUCCUCCUCGGGAUCCAUCCCCAACCUACCAGCCUCCUCCUUCCCGAUCCAUCCAACCACCACAGCCACGCAGACCUCCCCGUUCCCCUCGUCGCGAGCCAGGGAGAGGAGCUCCCUGCCGCCUCCCACCUCGUGCCGUCCCCGUCGUCCACCGGUAGCAGCAGUAGCUCCGGCCGCAGCCCCGAGCCUCCCGUGCGCCUCCACCUCCCUGCCGGAGCAGCACCACCAGGCCAGCCCCGCGCCCCUGCUCUUCCUUCUUCUUCCCCUAUCCCGCUCUUCUCUCAGUGCUCUCUCUCUGUCCCGUGUAGGAGGACAGCCAUGGGAGCACCCCGAGGAGCAAAACCGCAGCAGUAGACCGUGGCACCACCACCGGAGCUCGCCGCUGCCGGGAAUCACCUUCUUUCGCCGGAGAUCGCGUCCUUGUCCUGGAUCCGGUAAGUUCUGCCGUCCCACAGCGCGCCCUUCUCCUUCCUUCGGUCUCCUCCUCCACUCACAUCUCAUCCCCUCUCUCAGUUCUCUUUGUAGCGCUGCAGCCUUCUGCCUGUGCGUCGUGCGCGAGAACCGACAAGGCUCCAGCGCCAUGGACUUCCCCCACCUCUGCCCGAGCGCCUCCAGGACCUCGUCUGCCCCCGCCGCGUCGCCGAAUCCGGCCACCAGCACCCUCCAGCGCCGCCGUUUCCUUCCUCCUACUGCUCGAUCCCUGCUUCAGGAACGAGACGACGAGCGCCCAGCAAUCGCGUUGACCGCAUCGGUCAGAUCCGGUGGGCCCACGCUGCUUCCCCGUUGGCCCAGUGCGCCUCCUCUCCAAGGCCCAGUCGUGGCCUCCUCUCUGGCCCAGCUUCAAUUUCGGCCUGCUAGGCCCGAUGUGAGUAGCUCCCCCAGCCCUUCAGUUUCGGCCCGCAUCUAUUUUUUUUCGUGCGCUGCGAUUUUAGUAUUAUUCGAGAGAAAACCUGUUUUACCUAUUAGUCCCUAGACUUCAUGCAUUUAAUAACUCCACAACCGUGCAUCGGAUUAAAAUGUUUAAAAUAUGUAAAAUGAUUAGAAUUGCAUCUAGUUUCACAAUAUGCUGCUUCCAUCCAUGUUUAAAAUGUUUAAACUUGUUGUUUAUUUAAUUUUGCAUAAAUAGCAUGUUAAAAUGAAUUAUUUCAUAUCUUAAUAGCCAUAGCUCCGAAUUUAAUAAACUUUAUAUGUAAAUGGGGUAGAAAAAUGCCUAUUUUAACAUGGUGUACUUUAUUUUGCUGUUUAACAACAUUAAAAUUGUGUUUAGGGCAGAACAGUAGUAAAUUCAAAAUAUGCAUGUGGGGAUUUUCCGGAAUUGUUGUUUAUUGUUUCCGGCCUCAUUUAACUUGCUUAAAUAGUUAGUUUACUUAUGCUUCACCCCUUGCCAUGCUUAAUAACAUUUAAUAUUGUUGUGUAUCUUAACGAGAGAGAACUAAAUAAUUGAUGUGGUGUUUUGUCAAUAUGCAACUCGUUGCAUAUUGAGCUCCACUUAAUUUGUAGUAUUGUUUGUGCACUUUGCCAUGCCAUGCCUCAUUAAACCGGACAUGCAUCAUACUUGAUUGUGCAUCAUGCCAUGUUUAUGUGAUGGUUGUUUACUAUGUUGUUUGCUUCUUUCCGGUUUGCUUCUCUCGUUUGCUUCGGUUUCGUUCCGGAGUUGUGAGGAUUCGUUCGACUACGUCCGUUUGUCUUCUUCAUGGACUCGUUCUUCUUCCUAGCGGGAUCUUAGGCAAGAUGACCAUACCCUCGAAAUCACUUCUAUCUUUGCUUGCUAGUUGUCCGUUCUAUUGCUAUGCCGCGUUACCUACCACUUGCUUAUCAAGCCUCCCAAAUUGCCAUGAACCUCUAACCUUUGUCAUCCUUCCUAGCAAACCGUUGUUUGGCUAUGUUACCGCUUUUGCUCAGCCCCUCUUAUAGCGUUGCUAGUUGCAGGUGAAGAUGAAGUUUGUUCCAUGUUGGAACAUGGAUAUGUUGGGAUAUCACAAUAUCUCUAAUUUAAUUAAUGCAUCUAUAUACUUGGUAAAGGGUGGAAGGCUCGGCCUUAUGCCUGGUGUUUUGUUCCACUCUUGCCACCCUAGUUUCUGUCAUACCGGUGUUAUGUUCCUUGAUUUUGCGUCCCUUACGCGGUUGGGUGAUUUAUGGGACCCCCUUGACAGUUCGCUUUGAAUAAAACUCCUCCAGCAAGGCCCAACCUUGGUUUUACCAUUUGCCUAUCACCUAUUUCUUUUCCCUAGGGAGUCGCUCUCCCGAGGGUCAUCUUUAUUUAACACCCCCCCGGGCCAGUGCUUCUCUAAGUGUUGGUCUGAACCGAGCAACCUGCGGGGCCACCUCGGGGAAACUUGAGGGCUAGUUUUACUCGUAGCUUGACUUAUCCGGUGUUACCCUGAGAACGAGAUAUGUGCAGCUCCUAUCGGGAUGUCGGCGCACCGGGCGGCUUUGCUGGUCUUGUUUUACCAUUGUCGAAAUGUCUUGUAACCGGGAUUCCGAGACUGAUCGGGUCUUCCCGGGAGAAGGAAUAUCCUUCGUUGACCAUGAGAGCUUAUAAUGGGCUAAGUUGGGACACCCCUGCAGGGUAUAAACUUUCGAGAGCCGUGCCCGCGGUUAUGUGGUAGAUGGGAAUUUGUUAAUGUCCGGUUGUAGAGAACUUGACACUUGACUUAAUUAAAACGCAUCAACCGCGUGUGUAGCCGUGAUGGUCUCUUUUCGGCGGAGUUCGGGAAGAGAACACGACUUUUGGGUUAUGUUUGACGUAAGUAGGAGUUCAGGAUCACUUCUUGAUCAUUACUAGUUGACGACCGUUCCGUUGCUCCUCUUCUCGCUCUUAUUUGCGUAUGUUAGCCACCAUAUAUGCUUAGUACUUGCUGCAGCUCCACUUCAUUACCCCUUUCCUACCCAUAAGCUUAAAUAGUCUUGAUCUCGCGGGUGUGAGAUUGUCGAGUCCUCGUGACUCACAGAUACUUCCAAAACAGUUGCAGGUGCCGACGAUACCAGUACAGGUGACGCAACCGAGCUCAAGUGGGAGUUCGACGAGGACCUUGGUCGUUACUAUGUUUCGUUUCCUGAUGAUCAGUAGUGGAGCCCAGUUGGGACGAUCGGGGAUCUAGCAUUUGGGGUUGUCUUCUUUUCUUUUGGUUCCGUAGUCGGACCUAUGUGUGUACUCUGAUUGAUGUAUGAUUUAUUUAUGUAUUGUGUGAAGUGGCGAUUGUAAGCCAACUCUUUAUCCCAUUCUUGUUCAUUACAUGGGAUUGUGUGAAGAUGACCCUUCUUGCGACAAAACCACAAUGCGGUUAUGCCUCUAAGUCGUGCCUCGACACGUGGGAGAUAUAGCUGCAUCGUGGGCGUUACAAGUUGGUAAUCAGAGCCAUCCCCGACUUAGGAGCCCCCUGCUUGAUCGAAUCGUCGGCAUAAGGCUGCCACUGCUCCACCGCGCAUGUUCCUCGCUAUGGCCCCAUCCACAUUUACCUUGACAACACUAUCUUCUGGAGCAAUCCAUCGUUGGGCCUGGGCCGUGGCCGUAGCGCUCGCCCCCCCUGGGAGACCCGCUCGGGAGCAAGUUUAAGUCUGCUAGGAAAUUAUCCACAAAGUUUAUGGUCUGUUGUGGGGGUUGGAAGAUUGACUCAUACACAGCUUUUCUACGUGCGUACCAAAUAGCCCACAUCGUCACAGCCAUCUUCAUGAACUCAGGUUGAUUCAGCCUGCUUUGUAGCUCAAAUAUCCACCUUUUGGCGCUCGGUUCUUCCAACUCUGUCAUCUUCAUUACCAAGCUCUCGUCUGAAAGUGCCCACACACAUCUCGACAUUUUACAUGAGAGCAAGGCAUGACGCCAUGAGUCCUGGCAGCCACACAAAGUACAGGUGUUCUGUGUCGCCAUGUUUCUAUGAUGCAAAACGUUCGUAGUAGGCAGCGAAUGACGUGCCAAUCUCCAUAGAAAGAUCAUGAUUUUUGAAGGUAUUGACAACUAUCACAUGGUUAAUUGGGAGCACAUAUGCUCCCCCAAAGAAGUCGGGGGCCUCAGAGUUAUCAAUACCAAAAUUAUGAAUUGGUGCCUCAUGACCAAAUGGGCUUGGAAAAUCCUCACGGGCCAAGGGGGGUUAUGGCUAUCAAUAUUUUCUAGUAAGUACCUGAGGGAUAGAGGCGUCGAUUUUCGCUCAAAUGUGCAAUCAUCGCAAUUCGCCAAAGACAUGAAGAAGGCGAGUCACCUUCUGCGGCUGGGAACAAAGUUUCUCAUUCACAAUGGCAAGAUGGCAUAAUUUUGGUUAGAUGUCUGGUGCGGUGAGCAAGCGUUAUGUGAAAGGUUCUCGGCCCUUUUUGCCAUUUCCGAUAAACCAAACGCCAAGGUGGUGGAUGUUUGGGCUAACUCGAGUUGGCAACCUAGAUUUCGGCGUUCGCUCGGGCCUAUCAAGAUCUCAGAGUGGGAGGAUCUCCGCGCUAGGCUACAAGUAGUACAUGUAUCUACUGGACGGGAUGAGGUCUCGUGGAAGCUGGAAGCCUCGGGUUGCUUCUUGACGGGAUCACUUUACAAAUAAAUUUCCAAAACACAUACCACGUGUGAUUUGUGUUGAAAAUAUGCCCUAGAGGCAAUAAUAAAUUGGUUAUUAUUAUAUUUCCUUGUUCAUGAUAAUCGUUUAUUAUCCAUGCUAGAAUUGUAUUGAUAGGAAACUCAGAUACAUGUGUGGAUAGAUAGACAACACCAUGUCCCUAGUAAGCCUCUAGUUGACUAGCUCGUUGAUCAAUAGAUGGUUACGGUUUCCUGACCAUGGACAUUGGAUGUCGUUGAUAACAGGAUCACAUCAUUGGGAGAAUGAUGUGAUGGACAAGACCCAAUCCUAAGCCUAGCACAAGAUCGUGUAGUUCGUUUGCUAAGAGCUUUUCUAAUGUCAAGUAUCAUUUCCUUAGACCAUGAGGUUGUGCAACUCCCGGAUACCGUAGGAAUGCUUUGGGUGUACCAAACGUCACAACGUAACUGGGUGGCUAUAAAGGUGCACUACAGGUAUCUCCGAAAGUGUCUGUUGGGUUGGCACGAAUCGAGACUGGGAUUUGUCACUCCGUGUAUACGGAGAGGUAUCUCUGGGCCCACUCGGUAGGACAUCAUCAUAAUGUGCACAAUGUGACCAAGGAGUUGAUCACGGGAUGAUGUGUUAGGGAACGAGUAAAGAGACUUGCCGGUAACGAGAUUGAACAAGGUAUGGGGAUACCGACGAUCGAAUCUCGGGCAAGUAACAUACCGUUUGACAAAGGGAAUUGCAUACGGAUUGAUUGAAUCCUCGACAUCGUGGUUCAUCCGAUGAGAUCAUCGAGGAGCAUGUGGGAGCCAACAUGGGUAUCCAGAUCCCGCUGUUGGUUAUCGACCAGAGAGUCGUCUCGGUCAUGUCUGCGUGUCUCCCGAACCCGUAGGGUCUACACACUUAAGGUUCGGUGACGCUAGGGUUGUAGAGAUAUUAGUAUGCGGUAACCCCAAAUUUGUUCGGAGUCCCGGAUGAGAUCCCGGACGUCACGAGGAGUUCCGGAAUGGUCCGGAGGUGAAGAAUUAUAUAUAGGAAGUCCAGUUUCGGCCACCGGGAAAGUUUCGGGGGUUAUCGGUAUUGUACCGGGACCACCGGAAGGGUCCCGGGGGUCCACCGGGUGGGGCCACCUAUCCCAGAGGGCCCCAUGGGCUGAAGUGGGAGGGGAACCAGCCCCUAGUGGGCUGGUGCACCCCCCAUGGGCCUCCCCCUGCGCCUAGGGUUGGAAACCCUGGGGGUGGGGGCGCCCCACCUGGCUUGGGGGGCAAGUUUCCCNNNNNNNNNNNNNNNNNNNNNNNNNNNNNNNNNNNNNNNNNNNNNNNNNNNNNNNNNNNNNNNNNNNNNNNNNNNNNNNNNNNNNNNNNNNNNNNNNNNNNNNNNNNNNNNNNNNNNNNNNNNNNNNNNNNNNNNNNNNNNNNNNNNNNNNNNNNNNNNNNNNNNNNNNNNNNNNNNNNNNNNNNNNNNNNNNNNNNNNNNNNNNNNNNNNNNNNNNNNNNNNNNNNNNNNNNNNNNNNNNNNNNNNNNNNNNNNNNNNNNNNNNNNNNNNNNCCAGGGCCGGCGCCCCCCAGGGGGCCUAUAUAUAGUGGGGGGGAGGGCAGCAGUACCCUAGCCCCUGGCGCCUCCCUCUCCCUCCCGUGACACCUCUCCCUCCCGUUAGUGCUUGGCGAAGCCCUGCCGGGAUCCCCGCUACUUCCACCACCACGCCGUCGUGCUGCUGGAUCUCCAUUAACCUCUCCUCCCCCCUUGCUGGAUCAAGGAGGAGGAGACGUCGUUGCUCCGUACGUGUGUUGAACGCGGAGGUGUCGUCCGUUCGGCGCUAGGAUCAUCGGUGAUUUGGAUCACGACGAGUACGACUCCAUCAACCCCGUUCUCUUGAACGUUUCCGCUCGCGAUCUACAAGGGUAUGUAGAUGCACUCCUUCCCUCUCGUUGCUAGUAAACUCCAUAGAUUGAUCUUGGUGAUGCGUAGAAAAUUUUGAAUUUCUGCUACGUUACCCAACAAUUUGAGCGGGAUUUGGAAGGCAAGGUUGCCAGCCGAAAUUAAAUAUUUCUGUGGCAAGUUGCUCGUAACCGCAUCAUUAGCGGAGACCAAGUUCAGAAGAGGCACGGUCUAGGGGACGGGAAUUGCGUGUGGUGCCGUGCGGCAUAGGAUCGCGACCAUUUAUUGUUCAAGUGUAUAGUUGCUCGCUUUAGAUGGAGCGUCUCCGUGAAAUAACCGGAGGUGCUUGGAACCCAAGUGGAUUCGUGGACCUAUAUAGGAUGGUUCAGGGCGCAUCGGGUGGGGAACACCGUCUGGCAUGGCUGGUUUUGGGGGCAUUGGCAUGGACCUUGUGGACUACACGCAAUAAAGCGCUUAUAGAGGGGAUUUUUUUUCACCAUUCAGCUGAUCUUCUAUACAAAAUGGUCUCUUUCUUGCAGCUUUUGAAGCUCAGGCAAAGUCAAAGGACAAAGGGAGCGUGGAGCAGCUCGUGCUAAAGAUGCGGGCAAAGUGCACUGAACUUCAUCGCGUCGGGUAGGAAUUUGCUUCCGUAGGGUGCCAUCCUUCCCGAUAUCUUCUGGGAGUCGGCAAUGUUAGUUGGCUUGCGAUCGGCGUUGUGUUGCUGUUAUCAACCGUUUCGGCUUGUAUCUACUCUUUUAUUUUGUUCUGUUUCCAUUUUGUUAGACUCUUGUACGACUUUGUAGGGCCUCAUCAUUAAGGCCAGGCAAGCGCCUCCUUUCAAAAAAAAAAAUUUACGAGUCAACAAAAAAAAAACGCCUUUGGUUGAAGAAGAGAAAAAUCAGUUGCAACUUUCACGCCAAUUUGAUUCAUCGUCGGGGAGAUCUCCUAGUGGACGCAUAGCAUAGGGCUUUCUCCUCUCCCCAUCGCUCGGCCGGUCCAAUGGCCACCGACUCUUCCUACCCCGUCGAGUUCUUCCACCGCGGCGGCGGCGACGGCGACGGCCAAUGGUGCAGCCUCGGCGCCGCCUACGCCGCCGUCCGGGUCCUCCGCCCGCAGGGCCACUCCCUCGUCAUGUACACCGUUCCCGACGACCGGCCCCACCAGCGGAUCCUCUUCGCGUACCCGAUCCUCCCUGGCGACGCCUUCGAGAGGCUGGACGGGUCCACGCUCUCCUGGGCGGGGCAAGGCUCCGGCGAUGAGUUUGCUCUCUGCUUCCGCGACGAGGCCGCCUGCGCAGCGAUCUGCGGCGCCAUCUCCCCGGUGACGACGGCGCUUGCAGCCCUGGACGACAUCGCUGACAGGCUCGAGGGGUUGCGAGUGGCCGCGGCGGAGGGGGGCGCCACGGCCGCCGGAGGGGACAUCGCUUGUCGGCUCGCGCAGCUUAGCUUAGCCCGCGGGCCAUGAACUGGGCUACCCGGAGAAUUGAAACCAGCCAGAUCAAGUAGGUUUUUGCCAUAGCACCGUCGUGUUAUUCAAUCAACUCUAUACUACGUAUAAAAUUCUGCAAACUUUUCUUCAGCAGUUUACAUCGCUUUGUUCCAAAACUGCAAUUGUUAAAGCAACAGAUGGAAAGAUUGCAGACUAUGAUGCCCAGUAAGGAAUUUCUUUUGAAUUUCGAAAGAUUGCAGACCAUCUCUCCAGCCUCUCAUGAGCAAUCUUUACCUGCAAAAACAAGAUGGAGCUGAAACACACAUGGGGCGUGUGACUGCCCUUAACAGACUCACGUUGCGACUAUUAGGAACCUGUCGCUCGCGUCGCUCUUCACGGGGGCGGCACGAGCGAACCCUAGCCGCCGCCGCCCCGUCCCUCGCCUUUGCAGCCCGCGGUCUAGCCGCUGCCGGAGGAGGCCGACGGGCGAAGCCCGCCACGGUGGAUGGCAGCAGCAGGGCACUCUCUCCUCGUGGGGAUGCGUUGCCCUGGACGGCACGACCGGCUCGCCGCGCGGUGGCGGAAGUCGGCGUGGUGGAUCCGGUGGUGGACCUCACGUCAGCCCGGCGAGGAGGUUCUGCGUGGCUGGCCGUGGUCGAGCACGAGGGAUUCGGGCCUUGUUACCCGGAUUGAUCUCGGAUGGUGACUGCAUCCUCAGUCGGCGCGGUCAGAGUGGCGACCUUGGCGUGCGGCGGUGGCUGGUUCCCCCGUUCAGGUGUUGGGUGGCGCGGAAGGGGCUAGUGGGUUGAGUCCUUGGCUUGCCUGAUCAGGUGUUGGGUGGCGGCUAGCGUCCCGUUCAGAUCCGUCGUGGCAUGGCCUUGGCCGGCCGGCGACUCGUGGAGGGACCGGUGAGGGGCGGAUGGAGGCCCUCUGCCGGCGUGCUGACGGCGGCUUUCGUCUUCAUGGCGAGGCUCCGUUCGGUUCCUGUCAGCUACGAGAGUGGGGUGACGUGACUUUCGGUGAAAAUUGCGCCGACUACGGUCAAGGCGAACGAUGGCGGUGUCUGUGACGUCAUUCCCUUCUCGAGGCAUCGUUGUUGCAGGUUGCGGAACCACGCCUAGGGGGAAACCCUAGAUUUGGGGCUUCCCGAAUCGGACGAUGACGACAUCUUUGAUGACGUUUUCCCUCUUGAGGGCAUCAUUUUGGAGCAGGUGGUGAUGGAAGGGCUCGGAGGUGGAGCGAUGUUACCUCCUCUGCAUCGACGAAGGCAGAUCUCGGAGGCAUGGUGCAAUGGAGUCUCGGUGUCUGAUGCGUGUUGGUAGAAUCGCGCAGAAGGAUGGCGUCAUCUCACGUCGUGGUGACGUCGACGGUAGGACGGCGGCGGCGGCCUAUGAGAGUGCGUCAGACCGGUCUGUGCCCCAGACCUGACAAUGUGGCUUGGUUGGGGCCUCCGCUUUUAGAUGUUAGGUUUUGGUGCGAGGUCUGUUUGGUAUUCGGCUCGGACUAUCGGCACCCCUUCAUCAACUGGAUAGGAGUAGCGACAGAUGUUGCCAAAAUGAUGGCUUCAGACUUACUGAUGUUUACUUUGUAAGCUUUGUGAAUAAUUAAUAAAGUAGUUGCAUGCACCACUGCACCACCGAGAUGCAGAGACCGGGGGUCUUCCUCCUUUUCUAAAAAAACACAUAGGACGUGUUCGGUAGUCUGUAUAGAGGCUAGUCAGACCCACGCGAGAAGAGAAUAGGUUGUUUGGUUCCCUGCGUUUACUGUUGGCCUGCAUCGCAUGGACCUCCAAUCACCUCCCAGCCAGGCCCACUAGGAACGCUCAAAUCGGCAUUUUUUUUCUAGAGCCAGGCCCGCGCGAUGCACGUGGGCGGCGGCGGCUGCACGCGAGGAACCUCGCUCGAGAAGCCGAGUUGCUUCCUAAAGUGCCGGUAAUAAUUUCCAUCACCUUACCUCGUCGCUCCCCUUCCCUCUCACCACUCUCCCACUCUCACCGGCGGCGGCGGUCAGCGGAUCGGACAACAGCAAGGCGACCACCGGCCUUCAUCACCGGCAUUCGAUUCGCAACAUCACCUGCAACACUUCGACAAUGGCGAUAAGCUCUUUUUUCACCAUCCUCACUAUUUCGCAUCUGAUCUACAUUUAGAUUCGAUCUGCAUUCUAGGGGAAUGGGGAAUCGGGGUAAAUAGCCAUAGUACUGACCAUAACAUCAUCAUGAGUUCCUAGUAGCGAUGGAAUUUAGGGUUCCGGUCUGGAUUGAGUAGAAGGAGAAUGGGGGUCAGGGUAAAUCUUACACAAUAGUUUCUAAUCUUAGCCCUGGCGGCCCUUGAGGCGGUUGGAGUGGUGGGUGGCCUUGUUCUUGUCCUCCGGCGGGACCACCGUCUCGUCGUCCUCGCCCGAGUCCAUAUCGAUUGUCAAAGUAAAGUGGCCUGGCUCUAGUGCUCUGACAACCAUCUCCAUCGCUUCUUCCUCCUCCUCCGGCUCCAAACCAAUGACCCCCAGUGCCACCAAAGUACUAUUCCAGUACAUUGCGACACGCUGGUCAUGAGGAGCCCUGUACUUGGCCCACCUUGUCAUGUGUCCAGUGUCGCCAGAGUCGGCCUGAUUCAUGGCCCAGCAAAGGGUGUCGACUGACAUAGCGCCCUUCGCUGGGUAAGGAAUCAGCGACUUCAACUCCUCCGUCGUCGCCUUCUUCACCACAGCAUCUGCCUCUUUGUGCAUGUCUUUGAUGCUGCUGAAGUUCGAGCACACUUCCAUGGUGUUCUAGAACUUGGUGCGGUCACCGAGCGAGCACCCGGGGAAGAAAGCCUUCCAUCCAAUGCCUCAAGGGAAGGGGUUGGGUUGGAGUUGGAGUUCAUGGUGAUGGAUAGGAGGAAGAGUGAUAGACAGAGAAGAGAGAGGGUUAACUGAGUGCGGUUGUGGGUAAGUAGUGAUGGUCAGGGUGGGUAAAUAUAGGGGCUUUGGACGGUAGCUUUUAAUGCCGAUCAACUUUUGAACUUUGUGCUCUUCAUAACGCCAUGAACUUUCUGUUGUUCAUAAUGCAGAUCAAGUCGGAAAACAAUGACAAGGGCAAGGAGGUGGUGCUGCCUAUGGAGAAGGGCAUGCAAGGAGGUGGUGCCGCCUAUGGAGAAGGGCAUGCAAGGAGGUGGUGCCACCUAUGGAGAAGGGCAUGCAAGGAGGUGGUGCCGCCUAUGGAGAAGGGCAUGCAAGGAGGUGGUGCCACCCUUGGAGGUUGUGCCAACCAUGCCUAAGGAGGUGUUAGGCACGGAGGACGACGGGGUGCCGGAGGAGACCCCAACGGCAAGUGCCGGAACUACGGGUGCACUACCAUGAUGAGGGUGGGCCAACUCACUUCUGCAAGGUCAUCCUUGCCCCGAAGCUCGAGUGCGUUCCAAUGCCCCUAGACUUCACCAAGCACUUCUUGGUCGUGCCGACGGAGUUCAACCUCAAGAUGAACGUCGCUUCUCAUGGAGGGUCACUAUGAGGCUGAUGAACGGCAAGAUCACUCUCGAUCAGGGUUGGGCCACCUUCGCCGCCGUCCAUCAGAUCAAGAUCGGGUACAUUAUGACCUUCAAGUUGCUGACUCUCGACACGCUCGAGGUCAUCAUCUUAAACGACGACGUCAUUUUAGUGGUGAUCAAGUGCGAGAGGCACGAUGAGGCCUUCGCCUGAACGUCUAGGACAACUCUCCGUUGCUUCAACUGGUUUAAUAUCGACUGUAUCGCACUGCUUUGCUUGAAAACUGCUAUGUUUUAAGUGUCAUACUAUGUUUAAAACUGCUUGUUAUGGUUUAGAACUAUGUUUAAGUGUGGUAGCAUAUUAAACUGCUUACUGCUUGCUAUCUUUUGUGUGUCUUUGAGUUGUUCUAUACGCUUAUAUGUGCGGUAACCUCAUCACCUCGCCGAAGAGGUUACCAGACAACGGGUGUUGCAUGAAACCAAACACCAUGCCUUGUGUUUCCGUCUACACAAGCGGCAGAUGUUGGUUUUUUGCGUGUUUUCCCUCAACCAGACUAUGCAUGCAGAAGUUGCUAUGAAAACCAAACACACCCACAAUGUAGCUACUCGGCAUCUUCCCCUUCUUGCAAUAGCUAGGCUAGCUCUUGGAACCCUAGAGUACUUGGUAGAAAUUGGUCGAUCCUCGAUAUGUACCCUGUGCUACACCAACCGAUUCUUCAAACUGCUACACCAACCGAUUUCCCUGUGCUCCAGCUAACUACCCAGGGUUAGUGACAACUGAUUCUUCUAGUGCUACUUUUUUUAGAACAAAGCUUUAAAUUAAUAAAGGCCAGUACUAGGCGCCGGCGGACCGGCGGUAGGUUCAGCCGGUCAGGCCCCAGCCGUUUGAUCUGGUAUAGUACAGCCGUCCAAAAAAAUUAAUCGCCCCGAUCUAGCCUUCCCUUGAUCUGUCUUCUUUCUCCCAACGAAUCCCAAAAAGAAUCCCGCGCCGCUGCCCCCGUGGCUCCACCUUAGUGUGCAGCUCGGCGAGGGGAACGGCUGCCGGCCGCCGGGCGCUUGCACCUCUAUCCCUUGUAGCCCCUCUACUGCUCGCUGGAGAAGCUUCUCGCUAGUUAAUUUUCAGUUGCAAGCUCCACCUCAGACGGUUGCAACUCCCCCCGUCAACGCUCCAUGGUUGCGACACCCAAUGCGUCGCCGCCGCCACUCGUCGUCGAUCCUCGCUGCGACCGACGACCACCAGUAAACGACAUUGAGUGGAUGUAGCAAAAUACAUCGCCGGUAGUAGCAAAAAACAUCAACGGUGGCAACACACAAAAACUUGGUCGCCGGCGUCACAGCUCCGCAACCAUGGAUGUAGCAAAAUCAGACGACAGUUGCAGCAAAAAGAAAUUUGGUCGCUGGCGUCGCAGCUCCGCCACCAUGGAUGUAGCAAAAUCAGACGACAGUUGCAGGAAAAAGAAAUUUGGUCGCCGGCGUCGCAGCUCCGCCACCAUGGAUGUAGCAAAUUACCUUGCCGAUAGUAGCAAAAUCAGACGACGGUUGCAGCAAAAAUGUCACCGUCGUGGCGGGGGCGCAGGUCCGCCAUGAUGAAUGUAGCAAAAUCGUUUGCCGGUUGCAGCUUUUUGCGCCGCUGUUUCCAGCUUUUUGCAUCGCUGGUUCCAACAUUGGCAGCGACGGCGCGGUUGCAGCUCGCCGACCGCCGAUUGUAGUACCGCCGACCGUCGAUUGGCCAUUGUGCAGGUUGCAGCUUGCCGACCACCGGAUGUAGCACCGCCUGAUGCCGAUUGUAGCGCCGCAGCCGUGGGGAGGCAAGAGCUGCGCGAGCACCGCAUCAGCAAAGUCGCUCCUCGGGAAAGAUUGCCAUGCUUGACCAUGGCUUGGAGUCUGGAGUAAGGGGAUUUGGGAGGAAAGAGAUGGGCGAAAAACGAGCGGAUGCUGUUGUGUCGGGGAAGAUAAGACGAAGAAGAAAGCGGUGCGUGUGGGGCCAGAGUGACGUGUUGCGUGCUCGAUGGCACAAAGCCCGUUAGCGAGCGAGGCGUCCGGCCCAGUUUCGGCCGGUUCGCCGAUUACAAACGUUUACCAUUAAUAAAGCCCACUAGGAGGGAUCCUAGUGCUACUGUCACCAAUCUCUCUCAACUCCCGUCUUAUAUGUGACAAAAUUGUACUUUUAAUUUAAUUUACUUCUUCUGAUUGUAAGAUCAUCUCAUUCCUGACGCUCAGCAAAGCAACAAUCCAAAGAACUAGAAGCAAGCAUAGCACCCCUGCUUUAUGUUUGAUUCAACCAAACAAAAAUCCGUUCUGAGAUGCAGCAAUAGAGCUAAACUAACAGAAACAGUAAACUCAAGAAAAUCGACAUACAAAUAUCCAAGCAUAAUAAUCUUCCUUAUGUGGACUGAAGAAUCCAGACCACGACAGCAAAAACUGAUAAGAAAUAUCACCAGGUUACCAAAGUACCGAGCAAAAACAACAUCCUUACUGCAAUACAUGUCCUUGACGGGUAAUCUAGAGCUAGCAAACAUAGAUAAACAGCAACGAUAACUCUAAGUGGCCUUGUCGGCCUUGGCAGCAGAGGCGGCGGCCUGGCCUCUGAGACGACCAGUCCUCCUGGCAGCGAUGAGACCAACCUUCUGGCCAGGUGGUGCAUCACGGCGGACAGUGGAGGCGUG
RNAcentral lists this long non-coding RNA (35816 nucleotides) under Triticum aestivum (bread wheat). RNAcentral's name for it is "long non-coding RNA (TAES_LNC004226)". The record is from RNAcentral. Lineage: Eukaryota; Viridiplantae; Streptophyta; Magnoliopsida; Poales; Poaceae.